GCUUACGGUCACACUACUGGUUAGUGCUUGGAUGGAAGACCACCUGAGAAUACCAGAUACUGCAAGCU
This 68-nucleotide ribosomal RNA is filed under the name Astyanax mexicanus (Mexican tetra). The record is from RNAcentral. Lineage: Eukaryota; Metazoa; Chordata; Actinopteri; Characiformes; Acestrorhamphidae.